This is a non-coding RNA of Chrysemys picta bellii (western painted turtle), 285 nucleotides long. The record is from RefSeq and is a predicted model, not a curated record. NCBI's taxonomy places the organism in Eukaryota, Metazoa, Chordata, Testudines, Emydidae.
CUUUCCAAAAGAUAUGCAGGUACAACAGAUCCUAUGUUCAAUCUGCACAUCAAGAUUGGCUGUCUGGGAGAGGUGGCUACCAAGCAUCGAGUGCAGAGGAAACGAAAUUGACUUUAUAUUUCUUUUCUAAAGAUUCAGAAAGUCGCUACACAUUCGGUUCUCUCGCUGAAGCUUCAAGUUGAAGCACUGCCUUCUACUGAAACACGUGUGCGAAGCUCUUGGUUUUCUUCAGUGGAAGUUGAGGAUGGUCCAGACUCUUGUAAUCAGACGGCUGAACCUCAGAUG